AGAUUGAACGCUGGCGGAAUGCUUUACACAUGCAAGUCGAGCGGCAGCGCGGGGAGGGGUAACCCUUUCUGGCGGCGAGCGGCGAACGGGUGAGUAACACAUCGGAACGUACCCAAUCGUGGGGGAUAACUAUCCGAAAGGAUAGCUAAUACCGCAUAAGUCCUGAGGGAGAAAGCAGGGGAUUCGCAAGAACCUUGCGCGGAUGGAGCGGCCGAUGUCGGAUUAGCUAGUUGGUGGGUAAAGGCCUACCAAGGCGACGAUCCGUAGCUGGUCUGAGAGGACGACCAGCCACACUGGAACUGAGACACGGUCCAGACUCCUACGGGAGGCCAGCAGUGGGGAAUUUUGGGCAAUGGGCGAAAGCCUGACCCAGCAACGCCGCGUGAAGGAGGAAAUCCUUCGGGAUGUAAACUUCAUAAGUAAGGGAAGAAAGCUGCGGAUUGAAUAAUCCGCAGUCCGACGGUACCUUACGUAGCCACGGCUAACUACGUGCCAGCAGCCGC
RNAcentral lists this ribosomal RNA (503 nucleotides) under uncultured bacterium. Its description in RNAcentral is "SSU rRNA". It matches the Rfam family "Bacterial small subunit ribosomal RNA", at positions 26 to 518 of the family's 1533-position model. The record is from RNAcentral.